UGGGGCAUCGGACGGAUACUAAGGGU
Molecule: non-coding RNA, 26 nt
Filed under: Rattus norvegicus (Norway rat)
Lineage: Eukaryota; Metazoa; Chordata; Mammalia; Rodentia; Muridae
Source: RNAcentral